GAAGCCCCCUCACGCCGGGCUGUGCGGGGCGAGGCGGGGACCGCGGUGGAACGGGACGGGCUCUGAGGUGCCUUCCGACCGAAACCAUGGGGGAUCCCUGGGUUCACGGCGGGGCUGGUCCCGGCCCUCGCCCAUGCAGCGGAUCCAGGAGUCUGCUUGCGUCUGCCGGGAAUGACAGAUGACCCAGGGCACAGGUGCUUCAUCUCCAGCCCCACAUGAAUCCCACAGCGGGGACAGCUCAGCCCCAGCAAUGCCGACUUUGCAAAGCGCUUCGUGCUCCGUCAGUUGUAAAGUGUUCCUCCAGCACAGAUUUAUUAUUAUUAUUAUUAUUACUAUUACUAUUAUUAUUUUAUUACCACUA
Long non-coding RNA from Passer montanus (Eurasian tree sparrow), 361 nucleotides. RefSeq lists it as uncharacterized. The transcript is spliced from 2 exons. Lineage: Eukaryota; Metazoa; Chordata; Aves; Passeriformes; Passeridae. The record is from RefSeq and is a predicted model, not a curated record.